This 457-nucleotide ribosomal RNA is filed under the name uncultured bacterium. Its description in RNAcentral is "bacterial SSU rRNA". It matches the Rfam family "Bacterial small subunit ribosomal RNA", at positions 28 to 477 of the family's 1533-position model. The record is from RNAcentral.
GAUGAACGCUAGCGGCAGGCUUAAUACAUGCAAGUCGAGGGGCAGCAGGGGUGUAGCAAUACACUCGCUGGCGACCGGCAAACGGGUGCGGAACACGUACGCAACCUACCCAAAACUGAGGAAUAGCCCGGGGAAACCCGGAUUAAUACUUCGUAACAUAAUUGAAUGGCAUCAUUUGAUUAUUAUAGCUCCGGCGGUUUUGGAUGGGCGUGCGCCUGAUUAGAUAGUUGGCGGGGUAACGGCCCACCAAGUCUGCGAUCAGUAACUGGUGUGAGAGCACGACCAGUCACACGGGCACUGAGACACGGGCCCGACUCCUACGGGAGGCAGCAGUAAGGAAUAUUGGUCAAUGGACGCAAGUCUGAACCAGCCAUGCCGCGUGAAGGAUGAAGGUCCUCUGGAUUGUAAACUUCUUUUAUAUGGGACGAAACCUCUUUUUCUAGAGAGACUGACGGUA